GGUCUAGUGCCUUGAAGGUGCUCAAAGGUGACUGUUGAAGGCUGUGCUUUAUUGAUGGAGUGCGUGAGAAGAGGUCAAGAGCAUAAAAGCUGUGAAGCAUACUUUUGGCCAAGGUUGUUAAGUAAAUUGGUCAAUAAGGAAGAAGAUAAAAGGCUGAUUUCCUAUAUUGUGUCGUGGUGCCACAGGCCCCUUCUGUUUUCUACCUUAUGGCCAUGUGUUCUUGGAACCCAGCAGCCAUGCUAUGAGGAAGCCCAAACUUCAUAGAGGACACACAUGAGAGUUUCAGAUGAUAGCUCCUGUUGUGGUAUCAACUUGAAACCAGCAUUAACAGUCAGACAAGUGAGUGAAGAAAACUUUGAGAUGACCCUAGCUUCAGCUACCAUCUGACCACAACCACCUAAGUUUCCCUGAGGGAGAAUUGACUAGGUGAGCCCAGUGUACUC
Molecule: long non-coding RNA, 443 nt
Organism: Tupaia belangeri chinensis (Chinese tree shrew)
Lineage: Eukaryota; Metazoa; Chordata; Mammalia; Scandentia; Tupaiidae
Exons: 3
Source: RefSeq, a predicted model, not a curated record